Molecule: ribosomal RNA, 164 nt
Filed under: Acer campestre (hedge maple)
Lineage: Eukaryota; Viridiplantae; Streptophyta; Magnoliopsida; Sapindales; Sapindaceae
Description: 5.8S ribosomal RNA
Rfam family: 5.8S ribosomal RNA
About the family: 5.8S ribosomal RNA (5.8S rRNA) is a component of the large subunit of the eukaryotic ribosome. It is transcribed by RNA polymerase I as part of the 45S precursor that also contains 18S and 28S rRNA. Functionally, it is thought that 5.8S rRNA may be involved in ribosome translocation.
Source: RNAcentral
UAAACGACUCUCGGCAACGGAUAUCUCGGCUCUCGCAUCGAUGAAGAACGUAGCGAAAUGCGAUACUUGGUGUGAAUUGCAGAAUCCCGUGAACCAUCGAGUCUUUGAACGCAAGUUGCGCCCCAAGCCGUUAGGCCGAGGGCACGCCUGCCUGGGUGUCACGC